RNAcentral lists this long non-coding RNA (1142 nucleotides) under Anas platyrhynchos platyrhynchos (common mallard). RNAcentral describes it as "lncRNA (ENSAPLG00000021782.1)". The record is from RNAcentral. Lineage: Eukaryota; Metazoa; Chordata; Aves; Anseriformes; Anatidae.
GCCCUGUUUUUUCCAUUACCUGUACCACCAGCCUCAGAGGGACCGAUCCUCAGAGGGACGGAUAAGAUAUUGCUUAGCACUUGGCGCAGCCAUCUGCUCAGUGGGCACCAGGGCUGUUUUCCCUUGACUCAGCAGUUGGUGGUGUGAGGACAGCAACCACUGUGCUGCAGUGGUACUGACACAGCUGUCCACAGCUGCAAUGAAACACAUGUAAAAGGGUUACUGAAAUGAGUGCCCGGAAAGAGACACUGAAGGCAACAUUAGGCAACACUCCUCACCUCCUGAAGCUCAGCCCUUAACCUCCCCCCAUCUCUUCCUUCCUCUUGCUUCUUACCUUACCCUUGUCAGCCCAGGUCAGAUCCUCUAAAAUGCCAUGAGAUUAAGUACCUCUUUCAUCUGCAUGUAGACUAUUUUCAUUGCUUCUGCAAUCACACAGCACACAAGGAAAGGUUGCAAGCAGGAAAAGAGGAGUAAAAAAUGAAGCCAAACCUCACUCAUCGUGUCACAGCACGUCUCCACAUCUUGGAGCCAGACAUGCUGCAGGAAGGAACAAGUCAAGUUGUUUCAGAUUUGCUCCCUAAUGUGGCCAUUAAUUUUACCAUCAAGGAAGCUUGCUGCCCCACCAGAACUUAAUUCAUAUCAGCACAGCACUCUCUGCACAAGGCUGGGCAUCAGCACAAAGGGAUAAAACAGUGAAUGCCACACAGCAGAGGACUGGGAAGAGCGCACGUGAUCAAAUAAUUCGGGAUCAAAAAGUGUCCAAACAACUAAUGGCAAAAAUAAUUCUGUAUCCCAAGGUUCCUUUAUCCGAUUGAAAGAAGUGCUCUCAAUGUGAUUUCGCACACAAAAGACCCUCCCAGACUAUUGCAAACCCUCUGGCAGAGCUCGCAGCCUCAGCAGAGGGGCAGCAGCAGCAGAGAGGACAGCCCUGGCCCCCCAGGUGAGGGCCAGCAGAUGCUGCUGGAGGGGAUCGCUGCCUGAUGCCCUGCAGGACACCGCCUGUCCUGGGAUGUCCUUAGGGUUUCCAGCCUUGCCAAGUGACUUCACUGCUGCUGCACAACGAGUGGCACCGCUGUCCCACCUUCCCGUUUCCCCAGAAGAGCUGAGGCACAGACUGAGUUUUGUCCCCGCCACGCUCAGCA